GACGAACGCUGGCGGCGUGCCUAAUACAUGCAAGUCGAGCGAAGUUUUUCUGGUGCUUGCACUAGAAAAACUUAGCGGCGAACGGGUGAGUAACACGUAAAGAACCUGCCUCAUAGACUGGGACAACUAUUGGAAACGAUAGCUAAUACCGGAUAACAGUAUUUCUCGCAUGAGAGAUAUUUAAAAGUUGGUUAUGCUAACACUAUGAGAUGGCUUUGCGGUGCAUUAGCUAGUUGGUGGGGUAAAGGCCCACCAAGGCGACGAUGCAUAGCCGACCUGAGAGGGUGAUCGGCCACACUGGGACUGAGACACGGCCCAGACUCCUACGGGAGGCAGCAGUAGGGAAUCUUCCGCAAUGGGCGAAAGCCUGACGGAGCAACGCCGCGUGAGUGAAGAAGGAUUUCGGUUCGUAAAGCUCUGUUGUUAGGGAAGAAUGGAUAUGUAGUAACUAUACAUGUAAGAGACGGUACCUAACCAGAAAGCCACGGCUAACUACGUGCCAGCAGCCGCGGUAAUACGUAGGUGGCAAGCGUUGUCCGGAAUUAUUGGGCGUAAAGCGCGCGCAGGUGGUUUAAUAAGUCUGAUGUGAAAGCCCACGGCUCAACCGUGGAGGGUCAUUGGAAACUGUUAAACUUGAGUGCAGGAGAGAAAAGUGGAAUUCCUAGUGUAGCGGUGAAAUGCGUAGAGAUUAGGAGGAACACCAGUGGCGAAGGCGGCUUUUUGGCCUGUAACUGACACUGAGGCGCGAAAGCGUGGGGAGCAAACAGG
This 768-nucleotide ribosomal RNA is filed under the name uncultured bacterium. RNAcentral's name for it is "bacterial SSU rRNA". It matches the Rfam family "Bacterial small subunit ribosomal RNA", at positions 28 to 776 of the family's 1533-position model. The record is from RNAcentral.